CGGGAAGUAGCUCAGCUUGGUAGAGCACAUGGUUUGGGACCAUGGGGUCGCAGGUUCAAAUCCUGUCUUCCCGA
Non-coding RNA from Geobacillus sp. BCO2, 74 nucleotides. The record is from Rfam. Lineage: Bacteria; Bacillati; Bacillota; Bacilli; Caryophanales; Anoxybacillaceae.